RNAcentral lists this long non-coding RNA (9708 nucleotides) under Arabidopsis lyrata. Its description in RNAcentral is "long non-coding RNA (ALYR_LNC000884)". Lineage: Eukaryota; Viridiplantae; Streptophyta; Magnoliopsida; Brassicales; Brassicaceae. The record is from RNAcentral.
UUCUUCUGGGUUUUGAUUUACUCUUGGUUUUGUGAAAGGUCACUUGAAUCUUUCUUGUCUUCGGUUCCUAGAUUAUAGAUUCAAUCCCAGUAAGAUUGAGUUUUAGGGUUCUCUAAAGAUUCAAGAUUUCGAUGUUCUUUAUUUGAAAUUUCUUCGAAAAAUAUGGAGUCUUGGUUUUACUUUACGCCCACAAACUGUUCGACGAAAGUCCUGAACCAGAUUUGUGCAUCUUUAGUCAUCACUCAAUUCAAAGACCUCUAAAAAUAGUUUAUCUUGUUCAAAAGAAAUUAUCCUCUAAUUCAUAUUCACUAAUAACAGUUUUUAGAUUUGCAACAACAUCAAAAAAUACAAAAAGAGAGGUAAUUUAGAUUACCUCAUUUGGGUCUUGACCACAUUAAUGGUGGAAGACAUACAUCCACGAGGUAUGAACCUCGGGAGACAUUACUCCAGAUAACACUGGGAACUUGACUCCAGAUAGCACUGGGAAGAUGGUUACAUUCCACAACGGGAAGAGGAAGCACACGGAGACAUUCCUCCGGCGAAUUAAAGCAUUCUCGAGACUGACAGCUCGGAAGAAGCCAAACUUGGUACCAAUAUGAAUCGAACCCUGGUGGGAACUGAGCUCCGCUGAGACUCAACCACUUUGAUAUAGGCCGAAUUGGUGCCUAGAGAUCUAUCUUAUUUGUAUUUAACACAAUCAUUGGGCAAACAUUUAAAGAUUUAUCAAAGCCCACAAGGAACCUAAUAGAUUGAGCCCAUUAAGUUUAAUUGCACUUACAAGUUACAACGCUUUGAUUUCUCUUCUUCCUUGCAAAAUAUAACUUAGCCGUGAACAAAUGAUCAUCUCUCCAUGAUCUUAUUUUGUUUCUCCACUAGCGUACAUGGUCCGGUUAAUAAGGAAACAAAAAAUAUUCAUGUAUUUUUAUUUAAUUUUAGCUUGGUAUAUUUUUUUGGAAAAUUUCUCAAAUUAAAAGCAAAAGAAAGGUAAUUUAGAUUACCUUAAGCCGCAAUGAUAACAAUCAAUUAUUCAGUUCAGUAGGGUAAGUACCAAUUCGAACCCCGGUGGUGACAUAACCACAUAGGAAACACAACAACAUAUGAAAGUAUUGAAUUGGUGCCAAGAGCUAUAAUUUAAUUAAACUUAUCCCUAAAAAAUAAAAUCGAACGGUUCAAGUUUAGACCGGUACGCUGAAUAAUUUCACAUCAUCAGUGUAAGGUAUCGAAGAACACUACAUCUCCCUCGUCAUGGUUUACAUAUCUCUUGAAAUGUUUUGAGGAAGUAGUGAAUAAAGAGCCUGCAGGAGUUAAUUCGAUCAAGGCUAAAGACAAAGUACACACGAUUUCUUAUCGGAGAAUAAGAACUCAUCUGAGGAGCAAAGAGAUUUAUAACAUAAAGCUUGAUGAGUUCAGAGAGUGUUUGAACAAAGUUAAAUAUGUUCCCGGUGACUGAAACAGAUUUUCAUUAUAUGGAGAGAAGGAUAAAAGAGAAGCUCUUGUUGUAUCACAGUGAAAAACUUGCGGUUGCGAUUUGCUAUAACGUGCAUGUCUCACUCAAUGCGUCAGGUAACAUAUUAAAUUAUUAAUUGACGUUACCUAAAAUGAGCUAUCUACCCGUAACUUGUGGUUCAAGUUUCUUUCUUAGAUGAUCUCUUGAAAGAGACUACUACCAAAAUCAUGUAAACGGUUUUCACUAAAGAUAUAUUCUAGUUAACAUAAACCUCAUGAGAUUAGGAUUUUUAUAACAUAUAAUUAAGAUUACCUCAAGAUAUCUAUCAUCAGAGGUGAUGGAUCAGUUUUAACAAUUACUAAGAGAGAACUCAACAGAAGUCGACAAUUUAAGUAGAGAACUAAUUCUAGCGACGAUUUAAAGAGAGAAUAACCUCUGGCGACGAAAGUACCGAUUCGAACCUAAGUGGCAUGUCAUGUGACACAACAAACUGGAAAAUUAUUAAAUAAAUCUUCUAAGAAAACUACGAAUCGGAAUAGAAAAUUAGCUAACAGAAUAACCCUAAAGGAACAUUGGCACGAUGUCGAACGGUACGUUCUAUCUACAUCGUAAUUUCAUAUCUAGAUAAAAUCGUAGAGACGAAAGAGAGUCACCACAAAUCAGUGAAUAACUCCGAUGUGGAAGAAGAAGACCACAUGGAAACUUAAAAUUUUUAGUUUUUGUAUAAACUUUUUUAAAAAAGAAUUUGUAAAGUUCAUUUUUCUUCAAGGAUAAAAAACUGGGUUUUCUAAUUAGUUAUAUCCACGUAAUGUAUAAAAUUACAAUAUUUAUUAAAUUGUGUAUUAAAUAACAAUUUUUAUUAAACAAGGUAUUAUUAGAGAAAUUAUGUUUUUUAAAAAAGUAAAUAAAUAUACCAAUAUUAUUUGUUUGAAACCACCGCAUCAAAGAAAAUUACAAAUCAGAAUAGAAAAUUAGGUUACAGAUUAUCAACGUUAAAGGAACACAUGCACGAAGUUGAACGAUACGAUUUAUAUCUUAAUUUCUAAUCAUAUAAAAUCGCGAAAACGAAAGAAAAAAGGACAAGAACGAGAAGUCGAUAAAAAAGGAUUCGAAUAGAGAAGAGGCAAGAGGCACGAAAAGGAGGUAGUGAUUCUUCAAAAACAAAUUCAACUAUUUUUGGAAAAUUUUCCCAAAUUAAAAACAAAAAAAGGUAAUUUAGCGGCUAACUGCAUUAGUGAGUUGGAUCAAUACAACGCCGUUAGCUUUGUCGGUAGCCAAUCGAACUAACUAACUAUAAUAUAAAUCUACCGACUUUGUACCAAUUCGAACCCCGGUGGGGGUGAAACUUGUUAGGUUACUCAAGUACACAACCACAAAUGAAAGUACUGAAUUGGUGACAUAAGCUCUAAUUUAAUUAUACUUAGAGCACCAUUAUUGGUGGUUUCUUAGAUGGUUCUUAACUUUUUUAUUUUAGAAUUAAACAUUGAAAAAAAAAUCAAAACAAAUUAAAAUGCUAAGAUUUGACUCUUAGCUAAGAGUUUUUGGGAGUGUUAAGAGCUAAGAUUUGACUCUUAACUAACAAAAAACUAAAAUUUUAAUAUUAAACAAUGUUAAGAGAUAUAGUUAAGAACCCCCUGUUAAUGAUGGUCUUAUCCCUUUAAAUUAAAAUCGAAUGGUUCCGGUGUAGACCGGUAAUCCGGUAUGCUAAAUAAUUUCACAUCUUCACUGUAAGGUGUCAAAUUGAAGAACACUUAUAUUUUCCUCGUCAUGGAUUCAUUGGAGGUUCUUACGGCAUUGGCCGUAGGCGUAAGGGGUGUUCUGUAGUAUAUUUUGUUUGCAACAUUUCCAACAACACGCAAUGGAAUUGGUUUCCAACUUUCUAUAAAUUGAUAUCAAUAUGUUGUUAUCUAUUCGUCAUUUGAUUUAUAUGUUUAUGUAUGAAACUUGUGGUUGAAGAUUCUUUCUUUGAUGAUCUCUCGAAAGAAACUAUUUCAAAAUCAUGCUAACUGUUUCCAGUAAAGAUGUAUUCAAAUUAAUAAUAUUAAUUUUAUGAUUACGACCUUUACCUCAAUGAUACUUAUGGUUGCUAAUGGAAAUCAACAAGCUCCGACUUCGCCGAAUCUGUUCCAAAACCCUUAAUAUCUUGCAAACAAAAGUAGGAUUUUCUACAUAUUGAUUCCAAACGACGAAAUUAAAUGAAAAGAAAAGAAUGAAUAAAUUUCAAAGAAAACUAUGAUUCGGAAAUAGAAAAUUAGGUUUCAAAUUUUUAUCAUCAUUAAAGGAACACCGGCACGAAUUCAAAAAGUACGAUCUGUCCAUCUCGUAAUUUUAGAUAUAGAUAAAAUCGCGGAAACGAAAGAGAGUCACUUCAAUCGGUUGAUAACUAAGUUGCUCACAAACGGAAUUUCGCCAAACCACAUUACUCUAGCUAGUGAGCGUCCUUUUGUGCGUGAAACCACGUACAUAGAAAAUGUUGUUUGACGCGAACUGCAUCAAUAUGGGCCGGGGAGCGGUUCUUGGUGAGGGAAAAGUUCCACAAGACCGUAAAGUUUGGGAAAUUCGUUGCAAAGAUAGUAAAAGUUCUUGAGCCUUAUAAAAUUCAGAAACACGCAUGCUUUUAGCGGAUAUAUAUGCAGAUGCGAGAAUGUGUGAGGAAGUAAUGAAGACGAGGAGGUUAAUGAGAGAGAGAGAUUCAAGUUAAUAAAAAACCUGCAGGAGUUAGUUGGAUUGAGGUUAAAGACAGAGUACACACGAUUUAUUGUCGAAGAUAGAACUAAUCCGAGGAGAAAAGAGAUUUAUAACAGAAAGCUUGAUGAGCUCAGAGAGUGUUUGAACAGAUUUGGAUAUGGUGACUGAAACGGAUCUUCAUUACGUGGAGAGAAGUGCAAAAGACAAGCUUUUGUUGUAUUACAUUGAAAAAGUACUUGCGGUUGCGUUUUGCUAUUUUGUGCAGGUCCCAACACGUGAGGAUUCAUAUUGUCGUUUGUUAAUAUGAUCUCUAAUUUAGAUUACCUCAAGAUAUCCAUCAGGUAGCUGAUCAGUAUAACAACUUAACAACCAUUGAGAGUAAACUCAUUGAAAGUUGACAAUUUAAGUAGAGAAUUAACUCUAGCGACGAAAGUACCCAUUCGAACCCAGGUGGCCAGGUGACACAACCAACUGGGAAAGUAUUGAAUUGGUGUCAUAACCUCUAACUUAAUUAUACUUAAAAGCUAAAACUAACCGAACGGUUCCGGUUUUAACUGGUUAGCUAAAUAAGGUAUAAAGGUAGUAUAAGUGUAAAUGUAAAUUAAAUAAUUCAAGCUUAUAAGUCUUUUUCCCAUUUUGGGGUAUUUUAGAAAUUUUUGAUCUUUUAAGAGUCAUUCUAAAAUACAUGAACCUUUUUCGUUUUCCAAAUUAUACCUCGUUUAAUAAAAAUUGUUAUUAAUUUUACUAUUUAACAAAAGCUGGAAGUUUUAAAAAUAUAUUUUUGGAAAUUUUCCGAAAGAAAAGGUAAUUUAGAUUACCUAUACAUAUCAUGGUUCAGUUAUUCUUUUCUGCCGAGUAGGUACCAUUUUGAACCACGGUGGGGUGUGAGAUUUAGCAAGUGACACAACCACAUUUGAAAGUAUUGAAUUGGUGAUAUGAGCUCUAGCUAAUUUAAUUGUAGUUAUCCCUAAAAAAAAAAAAAAUCGAACGGUUCCGGUUUAGACCGGUUCGCCAAAUGAUUUCACAUCAACUGUCUAAGGUAUCAAACUGAACAACAGUACAUCUUCCUCGUCAUGGAUUCAUCAUCUGACAAUACAAGAUCGUUACGUCUCUAAACCGUAUCAAAAUAGAGACGUAAACAACAACAAAAACGUAUGAUUAUACGAGAUAUAAGCUAAGGUUUAUAGAUUGUGUUCAUGCCUUCAUGUCAUUAUUGGUGUUUGGUGCGGUGCUUUUAUUCGAUCGAAACGCGGUCAAUUGUUUCUUUCCAGCACCGUCAGCUGAAGCAGUAGAGGUUCUCACGGCAUUGCCCGUAGGCGUAGGGGUGUUCUGUAGUAUGUUGUUUGCAACAUUUCUAACAACACGCACUGGAAUUGGUUUCCAACUUUCUAGUAAAUUAAUGAUAUCAAUUUGUUGUUAUCUAUUUGUCAUUUGAUUUAUAUGUAUAUGUAUGUAACUUGUGGUUCAAGAUUCUUUCUUUGAUUAUCUCUCGAAAUAGACUAUUCCAAAAUCGUGCUAACUGUUUACAGUAGAGAUGUAUUCAAAUCAACCGACUUAGUACCAAUCCGAACUCCGUGGCGUGAGACUUGCUAGGUGACACAAGCAGUGCCGUGCCAAGGCUUUUUGGGGCUUGGAACGAAAAAUAAUAUGUGGCCUAUCUAAUUUAGUUGAAUAAUUAUUUUUUAAACAACCUAAAAUAUAAGCAAAAGAGAAAAAUUGAGCUACAAUACAAAGUCAAGGUUCUAAAUCUAUAUAGCGAAAUGAAUUAUGCUAACAUGGAUCAAACUUCAAGCAAAAUACAUGUAUGAGACAACUUAAAUUUGUUGAACCAACAAAAUAUUUUUAAUAAUGUGGCCUAAAAAUCAAGUCUAUAAAAUGUGGCUGUGGGCGAAUGCCCUUUAUGUUAAGGGGUAAGCACGGCACUGGAUACAAGUACACAACAACAUGAGCUCUAAUUUAAUUAUACUUAUCCCUAAAAAACAAAUCGAACAGCUCCAGUUUAAACCGGUACGCCAAAUAAUAUCACAUCAUCAGCGUAAGGUAUCAAAUAUACUAGAUGUUGCAAUGGUUUUUUUUCAAAUAAACUAAACGUUACAAUGGUUCAUAAAAUAAAAAAAUGUUGCAAUGGUUCAACAAACACUAACAAAAAAAAUUAUAUAAUAUUUUAAUAAUUAAAAAUUAAAUAAAAAUAUAUUUUAAAGAGUUACGAUCAAAAGUCGCCACGGUUGAAGUGACUGUAAAAAAUAUUUGUGCAUGUUGUUAAUAUUAUUAGAUUACUUGUACGAAAAGGACUCUUAAUGAGAAAAUUUCCAAAAAAAAAUACGCCUAUUUUUUUCUUGUGAAUAAAGAGUACAGAGAUUCUUCAUUGCCUCAAACUUUAUGGUGAUGCUUCUGGUCAGGAGAUUAAUUUUCAGAAAUCGUCUAUCACUUAUGGUAAGAAGAUUGAUCCUAUUAUGAAGCACUUAUUGGGGCUGUUCAUGGGUAUUACCAAGGAAGGUGGAGCUGGUAAAUACCUAGGUUUGCCAGAGUGUUUUAGUGGUUCUAAGCGCGAGCUAUUGGCCUACAUCACAGAUAAAUUAAAAAGCAGGUUAACGGGAUGGUAUGCUAAGACGUUAUCCUUGGGCGGAAAGGAGGUGCUUCUUAAAUCAGUGGCCAUGGCAUUACCAGUUUAUGCGAUGUCAUGUUUCCGUUUAACUAAGCAACAAUGCCAACAGCUUACAAGUGCGAUGACAAGUUUCUGGUGGAAUUCAUGUGAGGAACAGAAAAAGAUGCAUUGGGUCUCAUGGGAGAAAAUGUGUAAAACAAAACAAGAUGGUGGUUUAGGUUUUCGAGAAGUUAGCGAUUUUAAUCAAGCACUUUUAGCCAAACAGGCUUGGCGACUUCUCUCGGAACCCUCUUCCUUAUUGGCCAGAGUUUUUAAAGCAAGGUAUUAUAAUCGGCGAGACUUUCUCCAUGCGGCUGCAGGCUCUAGACCGUCAUAUGCUUGGCGUAGCAUUCUCCAUGGUCGAGAAUUGUUGGAGAAAGGUCUCGUGAAAGUCAUUGGUAAUGGACAAUCUACGAAUGUUUGGACUGAGAAAUGGAUUUUUGAUAAAGCUCCUCGACGACCUUUCAACAAACAGACACUUAUAGACUUAGACUUAAAAGUUUCAAACCUUAUUACCUCUCAAGGCUCUUGGAAUCAAAGUUUAAUGUCUGAUUUGUUUUUCCCACCGGAUGUGGUACGAGUGAUGUCUUCCCCACCGAAUACGGCUUCUGCGGAUAGAUUUAUUUGGGCUUAUACUCGAACUGGGUGCUACACAGUGAAAAGUGGAAGUUGGUUGAUAUAUUCUUUAAAGAGAGAGACCUCCAUUUUAUCAUUACAAGAACAGACUUCACGUUUGCUGAAAGAGAAGGUAUGGGACUUGAAAACUAUUCCAAAGAUCAAAUUGUUUUUAUGGAGAGUGUUAUCUGGUGCUUUGGGAAUUGCGGAAUGCUUGCAAGCUCAUGGUUUAAAUCCUUUGAUGCAAUGUUCACUCUGCCAAAACGAUUUAGAGUCGUUGAGCCAUGUUUUAUUUUUGUGUGGUCCUGCUCGUACAGUAUGGGAGAUUUCUAAUAUUCCCUUGCCUGUCCAGGGGUUUACAGAAUGCUUAUAUGAUAACUUUACAUUUCUUUUUGAGUUGUUGAGAAAUUCUGCAGUAGACCCCAAAUUACAGUUGGCAAUUCCUUGGUUGCUUUGGGGUAUUUGGAAACAUAGGAAUGAAGUUAUUCACGCAGGGAAACAUGGUGAUUUAAACAUCCUUGUAGACCAUGCUAUCGAGGAGUCAGAGAUAUGGAAUAAGUUGGUGUUAGAGCCGUCUGGUCACAAUGUUCAAGUUGCUCGUGCUCCGAGAGCUGAAGUAAGAUGGUUGAGACCUCCGCUUAAUAUGUAUAAAUGCAAUGUCCAUUCAUCAUGGAUCAAUGACACGAGUAUGUGUGGUGGUUCAUGGAUUGUGCGGAAUCACAAUGGAGAUGCUGUCUUUCAUGCGAGAGAAGCCUUUCUACCAACUACCAACCGAAUCGCUUCAGAGUUACGAUGUUUUCUGUGGGCGCUACAAAGUUUAAAAGAUCUACAUUUCGAGGACAUUGAGAUUUGGUCUGACUGUGCGGCUGCGAUUGAAGCGGUCACGGAUCCCAUGAAUUGGCCACGGUAUCAUUCUUACCUUGAUAAGAUCUCUCGCAUUACUCCGGGUUUUCGUAAAAUUUUCUUUAAGCUUGCGUCCCCAAAAGCGAAUUCAGUUGCAAGAGAUAUUGCUAAAAGUGUUACUCGAGAUGGACGUUUCAGAUCAUACCUUGCCAUUGGCGGUCCGGCAUGGUUGCAUUCACGCAUAGAGGAAGAUAAACGACGAUGAAGCUUCAUCAGAUUUGGUUGAUCAAGUUCAGUUUCUUGUUUUAUUUAAAUGAGUACUGUUGCUCUGUUUUGUGAUGGUUUUAUUGCUCUGUUUCUUUUGUUUCACGAACCUCAUUUCUAUCUUAAUACAAACUCUUGACGACAAAAAAAAAAAAACUUUUUUCGUUUCCCAAAUAAUACAUCGUUUAAUUAAAAUUGUUAUAUAAAACUGUAACUUUUAAAAAUACUUUUUUGGAAAUUUUCCAAAAUGAGAAGGUAAUUUAAAUUACCUCUACGUUCACGGUGAACGCUAAUCAAGGAUCAAUUAUUCUUUGUUUCCGAAUAGGUACCAAUCGAACCCCGGUGGCAUGUGAGACUUAGCAAGUGACACAACCACGUAUGAAAGUAUAAAAUUUGUGAUAUUAGCACUAAUUUAAUUGUAGUUAUCCCUAAAAAACAAAAUCGAACGGUUCCGGUCUAAACCGGUUCUCCAAAUGAUUUCACAUCACCAGCCUAAUGUAUCCAAUUGAAGAACACAACAACUUCAUCGUUAUGGAUUCAUCAUCUGACAUCAGUGCGUUGAUCUUAAUUGUUUGGUUCGGUUCCUUUUUUUGUGUUCCACAAGAGUCCAAUGUUAGUUCUUGUGGGUUUUGGUUUACUCCACUCUUGGUUUUGUCAAAGUCUCUUGAAUUUUUCUCGUCUUCGGCUUCCAGAUGUCUGUUUCUUGUAAGUAUAGAUUCGAUCCCCAUAAGAUUGAGUUUUAGGAUUUUCUCUAAAGAUUCAAGAUUUCGGAGUUCUUUGAUUGUAAUUUCAUGGAAAAAAUACAGAGUCUUGGUUUUUACUUUACGCCCAUAAACGGUUCGACGAAAGUCAUGAACCAAAAGAUUUGCGUUUUCUUUAGUCAUCUCACUCAGUUCAAAGACACCUAAAAAUCCUUCAUCUUGUUCAAAAGAAAUUGCCCUCUUUUUCAGAUUUGCAACAGCAUUAAAAAAUACAAAAAGAGAGGUAAUUUAGAUUACCUCAUUUGGGUCUUGACCAUAUCAAUGGUGGAAGACAAACAUCCACGCGAGGUAAGAACCUCGGGAGAGAUGACUCCAGAUAACACUGGGAACAUUCCACAACGGGAAGAAGAAGCGCACGGAGACAUUACUCCGGCGAUUAGAAGCAUUCUCGAGACUGAUUGCUCGGAAGAAGCCAAACUUGGUACCAAGAUGGAUCGAACCCUGGU